Long non-coding RNA from Pseudophryne corroboree (corroboree frog), 162 nucleotides. RefSeq lists it as uncharacterized. The transcript has 3 exons. The record is from RefSeq and is a predicted model, not a curated record. NCBI's taxonomy places the organism in Eukaryota, Metazoa, Chordata, Amphibia, Anura, Myobatrachidae.
CACACAAAACAGGCCCCACAUGCACACCAGUCCACCAGGGGUCUUCCCUGUGGACCCUAUGGCCUAUACACCCCUGCAGGUGUCUCCUUCCAGCUAAUAUAUGCGAAUCCUCCAGCUCCUAUUGCUCCCAUAAAACAUGGGGACUGUGGCCACAAUCAAGAA